This 531-nucleotide long non-coding RNA is filed under the name Mytilus galloprovincialis (Mediterranean mussel). Lineage: Eukaryota; Metazoa; Mollusca; Bivalvia; Mytilida; Mytilidae. The record is from RNAcentral.
CCACCCCUAAACCAUAUAUAUUCUUGUAGGGGACAAUAAAACAAAUGGAAUGAUAUAAAAGGGAAGUCCCGAGGGGGUCACCCCACCCCUCUUGUUUGAAAACUUGUAAACGGUCAACAUCCACACCCCUAAACCAUAUAUAUUCUUGUAUGGGACAACAAGGCUAAUCAAAUGAAAUUAAAGGGAAGUUCCUGGGGGUCGCCCCCACCCUGUUCAAUUUGAGAAUGUGCUAUUAUCUUGUAAACGGUGCAGAUCCCCACCCCUAAACCAUAUAUAUUCUAGUAGGGGACAAUAAAACAAAUGAAAUGAUAUAAAAGGGAAGUCCCGAGGGGUCACCCCACCCCUCUUGUUUGAAAACUUGUAAACGGUCAACAUCCCCACCCCUAAACCAUAUAUAUUCUUGUAUGGGACAAUAAAACAAAUCAAAUGAAAUGUAGGUAAAGUCCCUGGGGUCAUCACCACCCCGUCCUGUUUGAAUACUUGUAAAUGGUGGAGAUCCCCACUAGUAAGCCAUAUAUAUUCUUGUAUGGG